CGUGGGUAACCUGCCCAAGAGAUCGGGAUAACACCUGGAAACAGAUGCUAAUACCGGAUAACAACAGAUGAUGCCUAACAACUGUUUAAAAGAUGGUUCUGCUAUCACUCUUGGAUGGACCUGCGGUGCAUUAGCUAGUUGGUAGGGUAACGGCCUACCAAGGCGAUGAUGCAUAGCCGAGUUGAGAGACUGAUCGGCCACAUUGGGACUGAGACACGGCCCAAACUCCUACGGGAGGCAGCAGCC
Molecule: ribosomal RNA, 246 nt
Filed under: uncultured Lactobacillus sp.
Lineage: Bacteria; Bacillati; Bacillota; Bacilli; Lactobacillales; Lactobacillaceae
Description: partial 16S ribosomal RNA
Rfam family: Bacterial small subunit ribosomal RNA
Source: RNAcentral